This 467-nucleotide ribosomal RNA is filed under the name uncultured bacterium. Its description in RNAcentral is "partial 16S ribosomal RNA". It matches the Rfam family "Bacterial small subunit ribosomal RNA", at positions 38 to 507 of the family's 1533-position model. The record is from RNAcentral.
GAGGAAGGAGGGAGGCGUGCUUAACACAUGCAAGUCGAACGGAAAGGCCCAAGCUUGCUUGGGUACUCGAGUGGCGAACGGGUGAGUAACACGUGGGUGAUCUGCCCUGCACUUCGGGAUAAGCCUGGGAAACUGGGUCUAAUACCGGAUAGGACCACUUCUUGGAUGUUGUGGUGGAAAGUUUUUUCGGUGUGGGAUGAGCUCGCGGCCUAUCAGCUUGUUGGUGGGGUAAUGGCCUACCAAGGCGUCGACGGGUAGCCGGCCUGAGAGGGUGUACGGCCACAUUGGGACUGAGAUACGGCCCAGACUCCUACGGGAGGCAGCAGUGGGGAAUAUUGCACAAUGGGCGCAAGCCUGAUGCAGCGACGCCGCGUGGGGGAUGACGGCCUUCGGGUUGUAAACUCCUUUCGCUAGGGACGAAGCGUUUUGUGACGGUACCUGGAGAAGAAGCACCGGCUAACUACGUG